UUGGAGGGCAAGUCUGGUGCCAGCAGCCGCGGUAAUUCCAGCUCCAAUAGCGUAUAUUAAAGUUGUUGCAGUUAAAAAGCUCGUAGUUGAAUUUCGGGGUCAGUAGGUUGGUCAUGCCACUGGUAUGUACUGGUCUCACUGAUUCCUCCUUCCUGAUGAGCCGUAAUGCCAUUAAUUUGGUGUUGCGAGGAAUCUGGACUGUUACUUUGAAAAAAUUAGAGUGUUUAAAGCAAGCUAACGCUUGAAUACAUUAGCAUGGAAUAAUGAAAUAGGACGUUCGAUCCUAUUUUGUUGGUUUCUAGGAUUGACGUAAUGAUUAAUAGGGAUAGUUGGGGGCAUUAGUAUUCAAUUGUCAGAGGUGAAAUUCUUGGAUUUAUUGAAGACUAACUACUGCGAAAGCAUUUGCCAAGGAUGUUUUCAUUAAUCAAGAACGAAAGUUAGGGGAUCGAAGACGAUCAGAUACCGUCGUAGUCUUAACCAUAAACUAUGCCGACUAGGGAUCGGAUGAUGUUAAUUUUUUAAUGACUCAUUCGGCGCCUUACGGGAAAC
Molecule: ribosomal RNA, 549 nt
Filed under: uncultured Glomeromycotina
Lineage: Eukaryota; Fungi; Glomeromycota
Description: SSU rRNA
Rfam family: Eukaryotic small subunit ribosomal RNA
Source: RNAcentral